AGAGUUUGUCCUGGCUCAGGACGAACGCUGGCGGCGUGCUUAACACAUGCAAGUCGAACGGAAAGGCCUCUUCGGAGGUACUCGAGUGGCGAACGGGUGAGUAACACGUGGGCAAUCUGCCCUGCACUUCGGGAUAAGCCUGGGAAACUGGGUCUAAUACCGGAUAGGACCUCAAGACGCAUGUCUUCUGGUGGAAAGCUUUUGCGGUGUGGGAUGGGCCCGCGGCCUAUCAGCUUGUUGGUGGGGUGACGGCCUACAAAGGCGACGACGGGUAGCCGGCCUGAGAGGGUGUCCGGCCACACUGGGACUGAGAUACGGCC
This 320-nucleotide ribosomal RNA is filed under the name uncultured Mycobacterium sp. RNAcentral's name for it is "bacterial SSU rRNA". It matches the Rfam family "Bacterial small subunit ribosomal RNA", at positions 8 to 331 of the family's 1533-position model. The record is from RNAcentral. Lineage: Bacteria; Bacillati; Actinomycetota; Actinomycetes; Mycobacteriales; Mycobacteriaceae.